This 253-nucleotide ribosomal RNA is filed under the name uncultured bacterium. RNAcentral's name for it is "partial 16S ribosomal RNA". It matches the Rfam family "Bacterial small subunit ribosomal RNA", at positions 524 to 776 of the family's 1533-position model. The record is from RNAcentral.
UACGGAGGGGGCUAGCGUUGUUCGGAAUUACUGGGCGUAAAGCGCACGUAGGCGGCUUGGUAAGUUAGAGGUGAAAGCCUGGAGCUCAACUCUAGAAUUGCCUUUAAGACUGCCGAGCUAGCAGGUGAGAGAGGUGAGUGGAAUUCCGAGUGUAGAGGUGAAAUUCGUAGAUAUUCGGAAGAACACCAGUGGCGAAGGCGGCUCACUGGCUCAUACUGGACGCUGAGGUGCGAAAGCGUGGGGAGCAAACGGG